UNUUGAGCCUGGGACUGGACCUGAGUGA
Molecule: non-coding RNA, 28 nt
Filed under: Homo sapiens (human)
Lineage: Eukaryota; Metazoa; Chordata; Mammalia; Primates; Hominidae
Source: RNAcentral